Long non-coding RNA from Helianthus annuus (common sunflower), 2482 nucleotides. RefSeq lists it as uncharacterized. The record is from RefSeq and is a predicted model, not a curated record. The transcript is spliced from 3 exons. Lineage: Eukaryota; Viridiplantae; Streptophyta; Magnoliopsida; Asterales; Asteraceae.
UUGUACAAACAUUUCAAGCACAUUGUACAAGCAUGUUAAACACAAAUGUGUUGAAAGUCCUUUAACAUCUUUUCAACACACGCAGGCAAUAAACAAAACCCACCUUUCAAAUUUCAAAUCCUUUUCUCCCCCUCUCUCGAAUUCCUAAGAACCUAGAUCCAGAUUUUCUCUCUCUUUGUCUUUCUGUAUUCACCCUUAAAUCAAUGAAGAAGAACAUUGUUCCAUUUGCUGAUAUCGAUUCAAGCCUAAAUCACCACAAUUUCUGUUCUUACAUCUUUCUCCUCGAUCUAGGGUUCAGACCAUAGACCAUUAAAGGGGGCCGACUAAACUAGGGUUUCGACUACUGAUCUAUUUCUGCACGUAUGUUCUUCAGACAAUCAAGGUAAGGUUCUUUCAUUUUGAGUUCGUAUUUCCGGUGAUUUUGUGGUUUGGGGCACAUAUCUAGCAAAGGCAGAUUCAUGUUAUUUGGGUUUUAAGGUUGUUGAGGACUAAUGAGGCGAUUCCAUGUGAUGGUAUGGUAGAGAAGUAAUACAUCUGCUACAGGGUAUGGAAAGGCUACUCUGUUAAGAAAGGUCUUAAUUAUGCCCCAAAAAGAAGGAAGCCUGCCACCGAAAGAAGAGAAAAUCUGCAAAGAUAUUAUAAUGUCUUAUUUUAAUUAAUUAAGUGAUGGAUGCUCUUAUUAUUAAAGGAAAAACAAGAUGCUCGAAUGCUUAUGAUACUUGCAUCUUCUUAUUUCAUUUUGUCCGUAGGCUGUUUUGUUAAUUGUUUCCCCUGUUUACAUAAUCUCAAGGAUGACUGGAGACAUAUGGGAGUUUUAGUUUUUGUCUGUGUAUUGGGGAUCAACACUAGCACAGGAGAUAUAAGGCAGGCUUGGUUUGGGAGGAUGUCUUUUUGUUGGUAUCCCCAUUUGCACCCUACUCCCAAACCAAAACCUAUAGGAUUUAGAAACUGUGUCUGUCAAAUAAAAAUGUGGUUUUUGUGUACUGUUAUGGGUAUGGUUGCUUUGGGUUGGGUCACAAAUCACAGGUGGAAUACUCGAAAAAGGGAUUCCUUCAUGUCUUGGUGUGUUUGGAUGUACUGCAUAUUAGAGGUGAUGUUGCUGGAUAUCGGUUUAUUCUUUGUAGCAGUCUUAAGAAGUUCCAAGAGCUGGCCACAUCACUUGCAAAAGCUGUGCAAUCACAAGGACUAUUAUACCCCUCUUCAUUCGAGUAACAGUCUUAGGAAACUUAGCAGGCUGAUAAAGCUCCUUCUGGUUUUUAAUUGACCUGUUUCUUAUAAGAAAGAAUUUCUAAAUUCUGUCAUUUGACCCGUUUGGCAGUAUAAUAUACUCCACUUUUUCAUUUUCGCACAACUUGGAGGCCAAAGUCUCCUCUCAAAUUUACACAUGCACCCUUUAUAAAGAUAGGAUGAAAUUGUAGUUGAACUAAAAUAAGAUUUUAUGACUCGCUGAUAGACGGAAUAUAAGAAACUCCACUCAAAUUUUAAAUCUUAAAAUUCAAUCAUCAUAUAUGAUCGUUAAUCUAGAAGAUGUUUCCAAAAAAAGUUGAAUGAUUGGGACUUGAGCAUGCAAACUGUAAAACCUUAAGAAUUUAAUGAUUGCCAUACAUCUUGGAAUCUCGGAUUGCGAUUCAUCCUUUUAUAUGUCAAACGCCAGUUUGAUUGAAUUGAAACCUAGACAAUGCUAAUGUGAUCCUUGCUAAUUUCAUCAUAAGGCGGGUUGCUUGAAUAUAAUACUGAAACAAUAGGAAUGAAGACCGAGCUACUGGUAGUGAUUGCUGGAAAGCAACCAGAAGUAUGGCAAAGGUUGUUCAUUGAACCGUGCUACCGGUACUGAUUACUAGAAAGCAACUAGAAGUGCGGUCCGAGGAAGCAGGUGGAUGCGCAUUCGGUCAAGGCAGGUUUACAAUUUUCGGUUGGUAAAGUUGGCCAGUACCUUAAGAAAGGACAGUAUGCUUUGUGAGUUGUACUGGUGUACCUUGAUGCGGUUCUUGAGUACCUUGUCGCUCAAGCUGUUCAAUCAAGUGUUUUACCCAACAUGUUGAAGAGCACUUGUGAAGCUAUUGCCAAAGGAAAUCCCAUGUGGAAUAACUUAUCAGUCGAAGAAUCCAAGCUAUACUGCUUGCUAAACUUUGGUGACAGUCAUGGUUUUAAAAAAACGGCCGAGGCGGUCGUACUGAGGCGCGCCUCAGUUCGAAACGGAGAAAAACCGUAUAUGAGGCGGCGCCUCAGGGUCAGAAAUUAUAGCACGCCUCAGUGGAGUGAGGCGUAAGUUUCAGAUCUGAGGCGGAACGAUUUUGGAGAAAAUAUAGACCGUCCAUUGAAUAAGUGUUGAAGAGGUUAGAAAGAAUUAGUUGUAUUAAAACCAAAUUGGUCUAAGUGAGUGGUUAGGAAUCAUAUGACCUGGUUUUUUUACUAGAUUAGUUAUGAAAUAUAUGAUAAUUUGUUUGUGACCAGCACCACUAUUGGCUUUGGAAUACUUGUA